AUUCUAUGAAAGGGUUAUUUAUGCUGCGUUUCUCUUGACCUUACCCUGGCCUAGAUGACACCCGUGAAUGGGGAGGGAAUGAUCAUUAUUACAGGUACAGUUGGUGACUUGUUGGUGACUUGUGGUCCUGUUGGUGACUUGGUUCUUCAGAUAUGGGUCUCAGAUGACUUUGGGUCUCAGAUGAUUUGUGGUUCCGAGUGCAAGCCGAAGCUUUGAUCCUGUGCUCCGAGAUACACAGCCAGCCAGUCUUGU
RNAcentral lists this long non-coding RNA (252 nucleotides) under Lathyrus oleraceus (garden pea). RNAcentral's name for it is "Pisum sativum (pea) long non-coding RNA (PSAT_LNC042297)". The record is from RNAcentral. Lineage: Eukaryota; Viridiplantae; Streptophyta; Magnoliopsida; Fabales; Fabaceae.